GCAGCUGAAACUCCACUAUUGCCUGCUGCUGCUCGCACAGUCUCUCCAGCAUGUGCAAGGUGGAGUUCCACCUUGUGGGCACGUCGCAUAUGAGGCGGUGAGCGGGAAGGCCGAAGUUAUGCUGCAGCGCAGACAAGCGAGCAGCAGCAGGGUGAGAACACCGAAAGCGCGCAGAGCCGUUACAGUAAAACUGUGAAUGGCUCAUUAAAUCAGUUAUGGUUCCUUUGAUCGCUCUAUCUGUUACUUGGAUAACUGUGGUAAUUCUAGAGCUAAUACAUACCGACGAGCGCUGGGGGGUGGCCACUCC
Non-coding RNA from Pelobates cultripes (western spadefoot toad), 307 nucleotides. Lineage: Eukaryota; Metazoa; Chordata; Amphibia; Anura; Pelobatidae. The record is from the annotation of a GenBank genome assembly.